This 253-nucleotide ribosomal RNA is filed under the name uncultured bacterium. Its description in RNAcentral is "partial 16S ribosomal RNA". It matches the Rfam family "Bacterial small subunit ribosomal RNA", at positions 524 to 776 of the family's 1533-position model. The record is from RNAcentral.
UACGAACUGUGCAAACGUUAUUCGGAAUCACUGGGCUUAAAGGGUGCGUAGGCGGCUCGUUAGGUAGGGUGUGAAAGCCCCCGGCUCAACCGGGGAAUUGCGCCCUAAACCGACGGGCUAGAGUGAGAUAGGGGUGUGUGGAACUUCCGGUGGAGCGGUGAAAUGUGUUGAUAUCGGAAGGAACGCCGGUGGCGAAAGCGACACACUGGGUCUCAACUGACGCUGAGGCACGAAAGCCAGGGGAGCAAACGGG